AACCUGCUCCCUCCGUCCAACAAAGAAUGUCUCAAUUUUGACUAAAUUUAAAUGCAUUUAUACACUAAGUCAUGUCUAGAUACAUCCAAAUUCUUUCAAACUUGAGACAUCUUUUGUUAGACGGAGGGAUUACUUA
This is a non-coding RNA of Brachypodium distachyon (stiff brome), 136 nucleotides long. Lineage: Eukaryota; Viridiplantae; Streptophyta; Magnoliopsida; Poales; Poaceae. The record is from Rfam.